UAAUACCACUACAAAUAUUGCAUUCUAUUUUAUUUUUCUCUUGUUACAGCUUUCAUUCCAUUUUAGUGAAGCUCUUGUAUCUGAUGUCCUCAGCAGCACAGAAAUCCAUCUUUUCAAUUUAUUCUUACUGGGAUGAAAAUGAAAGAUUUAUUUGACUACUUUUCAGUAGUCAAGCAGUUGAAGGGGAUUAAUAUUUCUGAGGAGAUGUUUCUGACACAGGAGGCUUGCAGAUGUUCUUACACAAGCCUUUAAAAGGGCAUUCUUACAUAUGGUGUUGCAAGAACAUAUUCAACAAAUUUUUAGGUAAGCAAAUUGACUUAAUUUAAUAAGCCACAUUUCAUCAAACUAGA
Molecule: long non-coding RNA, 350 nt
Organism: Rhea pennata
Lineage: Eukaryota; Metazoa; Chordata; Aves; Rheiformes; Rheidae
Exons: 3
Source: RefSeq, a predicted model, not a curated record